This 847-nucleotide ribosomal RNA is filed under the name uncultured bacterium. RNAcentral's name for it is "bacterial SSU rRNA". It matches the Rfam family "Bacterial small subunit ribosomal RNA", at positions 8 to 850 of the family's 1533-position model. The record is from RNAcentral.
AGAGUUUGAUCCUCGCUCAGAUUGAACGCUGGCGGCAUGCCUUACACAUGCAAGUCGAACGGCAGCACGGGGGCAACCCUGGUGGCGAGUGGCGAACGGGUGAGUAACAUAUCGGAACGUGCCCUGGAGUGGGGGAUAACUAGUCGAAAGACUAGCUAAUACCGCAUACGAUCUACGGAUGAAAGUGGGGGAUCGCAAGACCUCAUGCUCGUGGAGCGGCCGAUAUCUGAUUAGCUAGUUGGUGGGGUAAAGGCUCACCAAGGCUUCGAUCAGUAGCUGGUCUGAGAGGACGACCAGCCACACUGGAACUGAGACACGGUCCAGACUCCUACGGGAGGCAGCAGUGGGGAAUUUUGGACAAUGGGCGCAAGCCUGAUCCAGCCAUUCCGCGUGAGUGAAGAAGGCCUUCGGGUUGUAAAGCUCUUUCGCAAGGGAAGAACACUUAGUCUCUAACAUAGACUGAGGUUGACGGUACCUUGAUAAGAAGCACCGGCUAACUACGUGCCAGCAGCCGCGGUAAUACGUAGGGUGCGAGCGUUAAUCGGAAUUACUGGGCGUAAAGCGUGCGCAGGCUGUUUUGUAAGUCAGAUGUGAAAUCCCCGAGCUCAACUUGGGAACUGCGUUUGAAACUACAAGACUAGAAUAUGUCAGAGGGGGGUAGAAUUCCACGUGUAGCAGUGAAAUGCGUAGAGAUGUGGAGGAAUACCAAUGGCGAAGGCAGCCCCCUGGGAUAAUAUUGACGCUCAUGCACGAAAGCGUGGGGAGCAAACAGGAUUAGAUACCCUGGUAGUCCACGCCCUAAACGAUGUCUACUAGUUGUUGGUGGAGUAAAAUCAUGAGUAACGCA